CACUUGUUAAUAAGACGUUUCUUACUAAAAGUGUCUGAUCAUAUGAACUCCAUGGUGAUUUCAGUGCAUUGCUGAGAUAAGCU
This is a non-coding RNA of Egretta garzetta (little egret), 83 nucleotides long. The record is from Rfam. NCBI's taxonomy places the organism in Eukaryota, Metazoa, Chordata, Aves, Pelecaniformes, Ardeidae.